GAUGAACGCUGGCGGCGUGCCUAAUACAUGCAAGUCGAGCGAACAGACGAGGAGCUUGCUCCUCUGACGUUAGCGGCGGACGGGUGAGUAACACGUGGAUAACCUACCUAUAAGACUGGGAUAACUUCGGGAAACCGGAGCUAAUACCGGAUAAUAUAUUGAACCGCAUGGUUCAAUAGUGAAAGACGGUUUUGCUGUCACUUAUAGAUGGAUCCGCGCCGCAUUAGCUUGUUGGUAAGGUAACGGCUUACCAAGGCAACGAUGCGUAGCCGACCUGAGAGGGUGAUCGGCCACACUGGAACUGAGACACGGUCCAGACUCCUACGGGAGGCAGCAGUAGGGAAUCUUCCGCAAUGGGCGAAAGCCUGACGGAGCAACGCCGCGUGAGUGAUGAAGGUCUUCGGAUCGUAAAACUCUGUUAUUAGGGAAGAACAAAUGUGUAAGUAACUAUGCACGUCUUGACGGUACCUAAUCAGAAAGCCACGGCUAACUACGU
This 496-nucleotide ribosomal RNA is filed under the name uncultured bacterium. Its description in RNAcentral is "partial 16S ribosomal RNA". It matches the Rfam family "Bacterial small subunit ribosomal RNA", at positions 28 to 506 of the family's 1533-position model. The record is from RNAcentral.